This 1186-nucleotide long non-coding RNA is filed under the name Dasypus novemcinctus (nine-banded armadillo). RNAcentral describes it as "lncRNA (ENSDNOG00000051589.1)". Lineage: Eukaryota; Metazoa; Chordata; Mammalia; Cingulata; Dasypodidae. The record is from RNAcentral.
CCGGGCUUCCCGGCCUGGGGGCAGAGGAAUAAAAAAAUGUUCUGUAUUCCCCUCACCCCACUGUAUUCCCCUCACCCCACUCCUCCCGCACCAACAACCUCCCUCAUCAUUGUGGCACACUCAUCGCACACCGCCAACACAUUUUGGGGCACUGCUGCGCCACAUAGAUAAUAGUUUACCCUGUAGUUCACCCUCUCUCCCAGUCCAUCCAGUAGGUUAUGGCAGGAUAUAAAAUCUAGCAUCUGACCCUGCCAUAUCAUUCAGAACAACUCCAAGUCCUGAAAAUGCCCCCACAUCACAUCUCUUCUUUCAUCUCCCUGCCCUCAGCAACUACUGUGGCCACUUUCUCCACAUCAAUAAGUUGGCAGUUCUUCCAAUCAAAUAUCCUCUCAACCUAUUUUUGUUCCCAUUUUCCCCCAGGAAGAAUUAGUCGACCAGGAAGAAUUAGCAGUUAUCUAGCCACAGGAACCUGCACACUGGGCUGGUUGACGCCUGCCCUGUCAAGUCUCCAUGAUGCUGGGUCCCGAGGGAGGCGAAGGAUUCGUGGUCAAGCUCUGUGGCUUGCCCUGGCCUUGCUCUAUUGAGGAUGUGCAGAAUUUCCUCUCCAACUGCAAAAUUCAAGAUGGAGCGUCAGGCUUUCAUUUCAUCUGCACCAGGGAAGGCAGACGGAGUGGUGAGGCUUUUGUUGAACUCACAUUAGAAGAUUAUACCAAGUGGCCCUGAAAAAAGGACAGAGAAACCAGAGGACACAGAUGUACUGACAUAUUCAAGUCUUAAACAGAACCAAAAUGGGUGCUGAAGUACAGUGCCGCAUUUAGUACUAGUUAAGACAGUUCAAGUUGAUACAGCUUAUUUUCUAGGAAAACCCUUCUUUUGUCUAUGCAAGAACAGUAAGUGGUUAUUUUUUUAUUUUUUAAAAAAAAUUUAUGUAUUUUUAAAGAUACAUAGAUUACACAAAAUAUUAUUUUUUACAGAAGUCUGUACUUUAUGCAGUUACUCACAGUUACUAUGCUAUCAUAACUGAAAUUUCAGUUGUGCUGUUGGGAGACUGAUAUUUAAUUGAUGCCUUCUCUGAUGUGGGAGUCCACUCUAGCAGGCUCCUUCAAGCAUUCUGUCAACCCUGGAUGUUGACUUGCCACCUGUUAGCUAUAACUUGGAUAUUUAAAUUUCUUAGUGCUUUGAGACU